Molecule: long non-coding RNA, 570 nt
Organism: Ostrea edulis (European flat oyster)
Lineage: Eukaryota; Metazoa; Mollusca; Bivalvia; Ostreida; Ostreidae
Exons: 6
Source: RefSeq, a predicted model, not a curated record
UGGAAUACAAAUGGAGCUUAUCGUUUUGUGUCAUGGAUUAUGCAAAUAAAGGAAGUUUUACUACUACUAAGAGUAUUUUCGACAAGUGUACACGUAUAUCUUUGAUCCUUUACAGAUAUUACGAGUAGAUCCAGGAAAAGCCGAUGAAUUUGUGCAGCCUCCACAUGUACAGAAAUGCCUUGCAGCUAUCAACCAAGAUGACCCCAAGAAUGAAAAGAAAAUAGUAUUCGCAAGUUGUGGUGAACUCAUAUUUAGCAAAGUCUUGGAGAAAAUUGACAACAUGGUGAUGGAUUCAUUGGACAGCUUUAUCGAUAUAUUUGAAGAAGUGACCAGUGGGUUGGCAUCAUUUGUUCAACUUCUGCAUGAUUAUACAAAGGAAACUGGGGAAAAAUAUAUGAAACGGAACUUCGAGCUAGAGGACACAAUCAUGAGCCAACCCUCCGUUUGAAAAGGCCAUUGUUGGACCAUCUCGAUGAUACAUGUACACUACGUAGAAAAUUUAACAAUCCACUAUAUCGAUAUAUAAUCAGGAGUUUUCUAUUUGUAUAUUAUACUGGAGUAUAUUAAACU